Pogonomyrmex barbatus (red harvester ant) is the source of this 923-nucleotide long non-coding RNA. NCBI's taxonomy places the organism in Eukaryota, Metazoa, Arthropoda, Insecta, Hymenoptera, Formicidae. The record is from RefSeq and is a predicted model, not a curated record.
UCUUCAUUUGAAGUGUUAUAUUAUUUCGAUGUCAGCGUGAGGAAGUGUAUAAUGCGCGAUCGUGAAGUAAUUUAAGCCUACGGAAUGAAGAUAUUUCCUUCUGGUCAAAUCAGCAAAACCGAUUUCAUCGGUCCGAUGCCGAUGUGACAUUUUUAACUUCACGCUUUUACGCACAAAGGCACAGCUUUCUAGGAUUUCGUCGACGGUAGCUAUCUUAUCAGCGGACCUCUGACCUCUUCACAAACACAAAAAGCAUCGAGAGACCUUUAGCAUCCGAUCCUCUCCCUCAUCGUUCGGCCACUCGUCGGUCGGACAGCAACGGAAACACUUAUUUAGUCACACGCAGUGGACGUCGCACGCUCUCUCUCCACCUCCAUCUUUGUCUCUAAUCAAACUGUCGAAUCACAUUCCGGUUUAUCAUCCGGGUGGUUAUCGCGGAUAUUUUCGCCGCCGGAGAAAGAGCUCGGCCGUCGCGGUGACGACAGAUCAUCGUGACAGAUGCACCUUUGUGCGAUCUAAGAUUUAUUCGCGAAAAAUCUCUAAAUGAAGCUCUCGAGUGCCGGAAGCGGCGAGCGAAACUAAACGAGGGAAGAGAUUAAGAAGAGUACAGUGACCGGUGUGAAGAUCGUUUGUCGCGAAAGUUUCUUCUCCCGGUGGUGACUUUUUGUUUCGCAUCGAGGGAUGAAAACCGUACGAUAGAAACACCUCGGUCCCGGAAGAAUUCCGUGAGAAUUCCAGAAGAAAAUUUUCGAGGAUCGAUCCCCGGAAACCAUGAGCAUCAAGGUGGUACUGCUUCUUGCAUUCGUCUGCGUGGUAACUGCCGUACGAGGAGAGAUUACCAAGGAUUCAACAGCAUGCGGUCGAACAAAAUGUAAGGGUAGGUAUUAUUUUUUAAGCGGAUAUGUUCCCGCCCAACAUUCUGC